Molecule: long non-coding RNA, 1204 nt
Organism: Mustela lutreola (European mink)
Lineage: Eukaryota; Metazoa; Chordata; Mammalia; Carnivora; Mustelidae
Exons: 3
Source: RefSeq, a predicted model, not a curated record
UAGAAUGCUGUAAUGUCCUACAACAUCAAAGAAGAAUAGAAAUACACUGUUAGCAGAAAGCUAACUAGUUACAUUGUUAAACCAUCCAUAUGAAGUACAAAUCCUUCCACAUUCCUGGACUCCUCAUUCAGUCUCCAGGAACAGUGCGUUAUUACCUAAAGCACCAGUGAUAAGGGGAAAUUUUUGUGUUUUUGUUGUUACCACUAUUAAAAUGUCGAAGAGAGGUAGAGAAACUCACCAUGGUAUUCAGCAACCCAAACAUGUGGCAACAUCAAACGCCUGCCCUGAAUCCAUCUUUGGGACUACACAGUUAACGGUAUAAAAUAUUAAGGCUCACCUUUGGACUGUAAGAGGUGCUGUGCUGCAUAGCAAAUGUGGUUGGAGCCUCUGGAUGUUUUCAGCCUGGACCCCCAUCUGGAAGCCACAGGCGGACAAGGCCAUUCACUUGCCAAAACAAACAAAAUAUUUUCAAUAUUCUGUGUUUUUGAAAAGUUCUCUUGCUUGUCAUCAAAAAGUCACUUACAAUCAGGGAGUCAAUUUGUAUUCAAGAGGUUCUCCUUCUAUCAGCAAACGGUUUAUAGGCACUUUCACUAAAUUGCUUCUCUAAAAGAAACAGACGGGAUCUCAUCUGCAUUGGCUUAAGAAUAUCUCUGCCUGAAGACAGAGGAAUGGACUAGAUGACCCUCAAGAACUCUUUAUUCCUCAGUAUCUAAAAAUUUCUUGUAAAAUUUUGCUUCAAAGGAAAGUUUUGCUGACUCCUAGUCGAUGGCAUUUAACACCACACCAUGAAACUAAUAUUUCAAUCAAGACUGCUUGAUGGAUAUGCGACAGCCAAGAAGAUCUGAGAAAGAAAACUGAAGGUACCCUCCGAUGAAGGUAAUUCUCCACAGAGCAGGUAAAGCCUGAACCCAAGAGCAUCAAGAUGAACGAGAGAUUGAACACCUCAGGAGGACAGUGAUAUUAGAAGGGUGCUAUGAGAGGGAAAAGUUAAGAAAGUUGACUUUUAACAGCUCUGAUCCCCUGACACAAAUGAAACUUCUUUUAUUUGAAAAACUAAGCUGCUUCAACCCACACUUUUUUAUUAAAAGUAUUUAUGAGUACUCUUGCAAUCCUUCACACAUAAACCACGUACCACCCCAGCCAGGCCACUGCACAUUCAAGCUUUGUGACUCAUAUGAAGCAAGAUUUACCUGCAUUACAACCG